AGAGUUUGAUCCUGGCUCAGAACGAACGCUGGCGGCAGGCUUAACACAUGCAAGUCGAGCGAACUGAUGGACUUCGGUUCUGAAGUUAGCGGCGGACGGGUGAGUAACGCGUGGGAACGUGCCCUUAGGUACGGAACAACAGUUGGAAACGACUGCUAAUACCGUAUGAUGUCUUUCGAGACCAAAGAUUUAUCGCCUAGGGAUCGGCCCGCGUUGGAUUAGGUAGUUGGUGGGGUAAUGGCCUACCAAGCCUACGAUCCAUAGCUGGUUUGAGAGGAUGAUCAGCCACACUGGGACUGAGACACGGCCCAGACUCCUACGGGAGGCAGCAGUGGGGAAUCUUGGACAAUGGGGGCAACCCUGAUCCAGCCAUGCCGCGUGAACGAUGAAGGCCUUAGGGUUGUAAAGUUCUUUCAGCAGGGAAGAUAAUGACGGUACCUGCAGAAGAAGCCCCGGCUAACUCCGUGCCAGCAGCCGCGGUAAUACGGAGGGGGCUAGCGUUGUUCGGAAUUACUGGGCGUAAA
RNAcentral lists this ribosomal RNA (524 nucleotides) under uncultured Pseudomonadota bacterium. RNAcentral's name for it is "bacterial SSU rRNA". It matches the Rfam family "Bacterial small subunit ribosomal RNA", at positions 8 to 564 of the family's 1533-position model. The record is from RNAcentral. Lineage: Bacteria; Pseudomonadati; Pseudomonadota.